UGGCUCUGGUUGUGGUAGGGCUCUCGAUCGAUCUUUCCUACCUUCAGGCCAGCGUCGGAUGAAUAUGUUGAGCCAACCUCGUCUGAUGAGCUCCUCGAUCUUAUCUCGAAGCUGAAUAUACUCCUCUGUGUCAUGGCCAUGAUCAUGAUGAUAGAGGCAGAACUUGUUAGGGUUGCACUUCUCGGGAUGUCUGUGCAUCCUUUCCGGCCUUGGCAGUUG
This 219-nucleotide long non-coding RNA is filed under the name Elaeis guineensis (African oil palm). RNAcentral's name for it is "long non-coding RNA (EGUI_LNC081151)". Lineage: Eukaryota; Viridiplantae; Streptophyta; Magnoliopsida; Arecales; Arecaceae. The record is from RNAcentral.